GAUGAACGCUGGCGGCGUGCCUAAUACAUGCAAGUCGAGCGAACAGACGAGGAGCUUGCUCCUCUGACGUUAGCGGCGGACGGGUGAGUAACACGUGGAUAACCUAUCUAUAAGACUGGGAUAACUUCGGGAAACCGGAGCUAAUACCGGAUACUAUAUUGAACCGCAUGGUUCACUAGUGAAAGACGGUUUUGCUGUUACUUAUAGAUGGAUCCGCGCCGCAUUAGCUAGUUGGUAAGGUAACGGCUUACCAAGGCGACGAUGCGUAGCCGACCUGAGAGGGUGAUCGGCCACACUGGAACUGAGACACGGUCCAGACUCCUACGGGAGGCAGCAGUAGGGAAUCUUCCGCAAUGGGCGAAAGCCUGACGGAGCAACGCCGCGUGAGUGAUGAAGGUCUUCGGAUCGUAAAGCUCUGUUAUUAGGGAAGAACAAAUGUGUAAGUAACUAUGCACGUCUUGACGGUACCUAAUCAGAAAGCCACGGCUAACUACGUG
RNAcentral lists this ribosomal RNA (497 nucleotides) under uncultured bacterium. RNAcentral describes it as "partial 16S ribosomal RNA". It matches the Rfam family "Bacterial small subunit ribosomal RNA", at positions 28 to 507 of the family's 1533-position model. The record is from RNAcentral.